RNAcentral lists this non-coding RNA (23 nucleotides) under Cricetulus griseus (Chinese hamster). Lineage: Eukaryota; Metazoa; Chordata; Mammalia; Rodentia; Cricetidae. The record is from RNAcentral.
ACACGCUGUAAAUGACGAUAAAC